This 253-nucleotide ribosomal RNA is filed under the name uncultured bacterium. RNAcentral describes it as "partial 16S ribosomal RNA". It matches the Rfam family "Bacterial small subunit ribosomal RNA", at positions 524 to 776 of the family's 1533-position model. The record is from RNAcentral.
UACGAAGGGGGCUAGCGUUGUUCGGAAUUACUGGGCGUAAAGCGCGCGCAGGCGGUCUUCCAAGUCAGUGGUGAAAGCCCGGAGCUCAACUCCGGAACUGCCAUUGAAACUGUUGGACUUGAGUACGAGAGAGGUGAGUGGAAUUCCCAGUGUAGAGGUGAAAUUCGUAGAUAUUGGGAAGAACACCGGUGGCGAAGGCGGCUCACUGGCUCGUAACUGACGCUGAGGCGCGAAAGCUAGGGGAGCAAACAGG